UACGGAGGAUGCGAGCGAUAUCCGGAUUUAUUGGGUUUAAAGGGUGCGCAGGCGGAUUUUUAAGUCAGCGGUCAAAUCGUGGGGCUCAACCCCGGCGAGCCGUUGAAACUGGCUGUCUUGAGAUGUCGAGAGGUAUGCGGAAUGCGCAGUGUAGCGGUGAAAUGCAUAGAUAUCACGCAGAACUCCGAUUGCGAAGGCAUCUCACGAAUCCGCUAUUGACGCUGAUGCACGAAAGCGUGGGUAUCAAACAGG
RNAcentral lists this ribosomal RNA (252 nucleotides) under uncultured bacterium. RNAcentral describes it as "partial 16S ribosomal RNA". It matches the Rfam family "Bacterial small subunit ribosomal RNA", at positions 524 to 776 of the family's 1533-position model. The record is from RNAcentral.